CCAAUAGCGUAUAUUAAAGUUGUUGCAGUUAAAAAGCUCGUAGUUGAACUUCGGGAUCAAUUGAUAUGGUCAUGCCUUGGUAUGUACUGUUCAUAUUGGUUCUCACCUUCUAAUGAACCAUAAUGUCAUUUAUUUGAUGUUAUGGGGAAUUAGGACUGUUACCUUGAAAAAAUUAGAGUGUUUAAAGCAGGCUCACGCUUGAAUACAUUAGCAUGGAAUAAUGAAAUAGGACAUCGCAUUCUAUUUUGUUGGUUUCUAGGAUCGAUGUAAUGAUUAAUAGGGAUAGUUGGGGGCAUUAGUAUUCAAUUGUCAGAGGUGAAAUUCUUGGAUUUAUUGAAGACUAACUACUGCGAAAGCAUUUGCCAAGGAUGUUUUCAUUAAUCAAGAACGAAAGUUAGGGGAUCGAAGACGAUCAGAUACCGUCGUAGUCUUAACCAUAAACUAUGCCGACUAGGGAUCGGAUGAUGUUGAUUUUUUAAUGACUCAUUCGGCACCUUACG
Molecule: ribosomal RNA, 500 nt
Filed under: uncultured Glomeromycotina
Lineage: Eukaryota; Fungi; Glomeromycota
Description: partial small subunit ribosomal RNA
Rfam family: Eukaryotic small subunit ribosomal RNA
Source: RNAcentral